GACGAACGCUGGCGGCGUGCUUAACACAUGCAAGUCGAACGAAGAGCGAUGGAAGCUUUCUUCUAUCAAUCUUAGUAGCGAACGGGUGAGUAACGCGUAAUCAACCUGCCCUUCAGAGGGGGACAACAGUUGGAAACGACUGCUAAUACCGCAUACGAUCUCAUCUCGGCCUCUAGGUUAGAUGAAAGGUGGCCUCUACAUGUAAGCUAUCACUGAAGGUGGGGAUUGCGUCUGUUUGGCUAGUGGGCGGGGUAACGGCGCACCAAGGCGAUGAUCAGUAGCAGGUCGGAGAGGAUGAACGGCCACACUGGGACUGAGACACGGCACAGACUCCUACGGGAGGCAGCAGUGGGGAAUCGGCCGCAAUGGACGAAAGUCUGACGGAGCAACGCGGCGUGAGCGAUGACGGCCUUCGGGUUGUAAAGCACUGUUAAUCGGGACGAAAGGCCUUCUUGCGAAGAGUGAGAAGGAUUGACGGUACCGGAAUAGAAAGCCACGGCUAACUACGUG
This 510-nucleotide ribosomal RNA is filed under the name uncultured bacterium. RNAcentral describes it as "partial 16S ribosomal RNA". It matches the Rfam family "Bacterial small subunit ribosomal RNA", at positions 28 to 507 of the family's 1533-position model. The record is from RNAcentral.